This 31-nucleotide non-coding RNA is filed under the name Mus musculus (house mouse). The record is from RNAcentral. Lineage: Eukaryota; Metazoa; Chordata; Mammalia; Rodentia; Muridae.
UCCNGGACGAUGAACUACAAGCUACAGGAUG